RNAcentral lists this ribosomal RNA (547 nucleotides) under uncultured bacterium. Its description in RNAcentral is "partial 16S ribosomal RNA". It matches the Rfam family "Bacterial small subunit ribosomal RNA", at positions 355 to 895 of the family's 1533-position model. The record is from RNAcentral.
UGGGGAAUUUUGGACAAUGGGGGAAACCCUGAUCCAGCCAUCCCGCGUGUGCGAUGAAGGCCUUCGGGUUGUAAAGCACUUUUGGCAGGAAAGAAACGUCGCGGGUUAAUACCCCGCGAAACUGACGGUACCUGCAGAAUAAGCACCGGCUAACUACGUGCCAGCAGCCGCGGUAAUACGUAGGGUGCAAGCGUUAAUCGGAAUUACUGGGCGUAAAGCGUGCGCAGGCGGUUCGGAAAGAAAGAUGUGAAAUCCCAGAGCUUAACUUUGGAACUGCAUUUUUAACUACCGGGCUAGAGUGUGUCAGAGGGAGGUGGAAUUCCGCGUGUAGCAGUGAAAUGCGUAGAUAUGCGGAGGAACGCCGAUGGCGAAGGCAGCCUCCUGGGAUAACACUGACGCUCAUGCACGAAAGCGUGGGGAGCAAACAGGAUUAGAUACCCUGGUAGUCCACGCCCUAAACGAUGUCAACUAGCUGUUGGGGCCUUCGGGCCUUGGUAGCGCAGCUAACGCGUGAAGUUGACCGCCUGGGGAGUACGGUCGCAAGAUU